Molecule: ribosomal RNA, 446 nt
Filed under: uncultured bacterium
Lineage: Bacteria
Description: SSU rRNA
Rfam family: Bacterial small subunit ribosomal RNA
Source: RNAcentral
AGGAUGAACGCUGGCGGCGUGCCUAAGACAUGCAAGUCGAGUGGGUUUAGACCCACGGCGAACGGGUGAGUAAUACCUAGGAACGUUCUUUUAGUUGAGGAUAUCCCAUCGAAAGAUGAUGCAAUACUCAAUGUGAUAGCAAUAUCAAAGUCGCAAGACGCUAAAAGUGCGGCCUGGGCACCAUCAGCUAGUUGGUAAGGUAAUGGCUUACCAAGGCUAUGACGGUUAGGGGCCCCGAGAGGGGAAACCCCCACACUGGAACUGCGACACGGUCCAGACUCCUACGGGAGGCAGCAGUUUGGAAUUUUGGACAAUGGGCGAAAGCCUGAUCCAGCGACGCCGCGUGGACGAUGAAGGCCUUCGGGUCGUAAAGUCCUUUUGCUCGGGAACAAUAAUUUGAGCGUACCGAGAGAAUAAGAGGUUGCUAACUCUGUGCCAGCAGCCGC